This 425-nucleotide ribosomal RNA is filed under the name uncultured bacterium. Its description in RNAcentral is "partial 16S ribosomal RNA". It matches the Rfam family "Bacterial small subunit ribosomal RNA", at positions 354 to 796 of the family's 1533-position model. The record is from RNAcentral.
GUGGGGAAUAUUGCACAAUGGGCGAAAGCCUGAUGCAGCGACGCCGCGUGAGCGAUGAAGUAUUUCGGUACGUAAAGCUCUAUCCGCAGGGAAGAUAAUGACGGUACCUGACUAAGAAGCACCGGCUAAAUACGUGCCAGCAGCCGCGGUAAUACGUAUGGUGCAAGCGUUAUCCGGAUUUACUGGGUGUAAAGGGAGCGUAGGCGGCGUGGUAAGUCAGAAGUGAAAGCCCGGGGCUCAACCCCGGGACUGCGUUUGAAACUAUCAUGCUAGAGUGUCGGAGAGGUAAGUGGAAUUCCUGGUGUAGGGGUGAAAUGCGUAGAUAUUAGGAGGAACACCAGUGGCGAAGGCGGCUUACUGGACUGUAACUGACGCUGAGGCUCGAAAGCCAGGGGAGCGAACGGGAUUAGAUACCCGAGUAGUCC